UGGGGAAUAUUGCACAAUGGGCGCAAGCCUGAUGCAGCCAUGCCGCGUGUAUGAAGAAGGCCUUCGGGUUGUAAAGUACUUUCAGCGGGGAGGAAGGUGUUGUGGUUAAUAACCUCAGCAAUUGACGUUACCCGCAGAAGAAGCACCGGCUAACUCCGUGCCAGCAGCCGCGGUAAUACGGAGGGUGCAAGCGUUAAUCGGAAUUACUGGGCGUAAAGCGCACGCAGGCGGUAUGUCAAGUCGGAUGUGAAAUCCCCGGGCUCAACCUGGGAACUGCAUCCGAAACUGGCAGGCUUGAGUCUUGUAGAGGGGGGUAGAAUUCCAGGUGUAGCGGUGAAAUGCGUAGAGAUCUGGAGGAAUACCGGUGGCGAAGGCGGCCCCCUGGACAAAGACUGACGCUCAGGUGCGAAAGCGUGGGGAGCAAACA
RNAcentral lists this ribosomal RNA (427 nucleotides) under uncultured bacterium. RNAcentral's name for it is "partial 16S ribosomal RNA". It matches the Rfam family "Bacterial small subunit ribosomal RNA", at positions 355 to 774 of the family's 1533-position model. The record is from RNAcentral.